UACGGAGGGUGCAAGCGUUAAUCGGAAUUACUGGGCGUAAAGCGCACGCAGGCGGUCUGUCAAGUCGGAUGUGAAAUCCCCUGGCUCAACCUGGGAACUGCAUCCGAAACUGGCAGGCUAGAGUCUUGUAGAGGGGGGUAGAAUUCCAGGUGUAGCGGUGAAAUGCGUAGAGCUCUGGAGGAAUACCGGUGGCGAAGGCGGCCCCCUGGACAAAGACUGACGCUCAGGUGCGAAAGCGUGGGGAGCAAACAGGAUUAGAUACCCUGGUAGUCCACGCCGUAAACGAGGUCGACUUGGAGGUUGUGCCCUUGAGGAGUGGCUUCCGGAGCUAACGCGUUAAGUAGACCGCCUGGGGAGUACGGCCGCAAGGUUAAA
RNAcentral lists this ribosomal RNA (375 nucleotides) under uncultured bacterium. RNAcentral's name for it is "bacterial SSU rRNA". It matches the Rfam family "Bacterial small subunit ribosomal RNA", at positions 524 to 898 of the family's 1533-position model. The record is from RNAcentral.